RNAcentral lists this unclassified non-coding RNA (233 nucleotides) under plant metagenome. Its description in RNAcentral is "partial contains small subunit ribosomal RNA, internal transcribed spacer 1, and 5.8S ribosomal RNA". The record is from RNAcentral.
UCUCCGUAGGUGAACCUGCGGAGGGAUCAUUACAGAGUUCAUGCCCUCACGGGUAGAUCUCCCACCCUUGUGUAUUCAUACCUUUGUUGCUUUGGCAGGCCGCUGGGCUUCGGCCUGGCCACCGGCUCCCGGGCUGGUGCGCGCCUGCCAGGGGACCUCUAAACUCUGUUUGUCAGUGUCGUCUGAGUAUUAUACAAUCGUUAAAACUUUCAACAACGGAUCUCUUGGUUCUG